RNAcentral lists this ribosomal RNA (443 nucleotides) under uncultured Bacillota bacterium. RNAcentral describes it as "bacterial SSU rRNA". It matches the Rfam family "Bacterial small subunit ribosomal RNA", at positions 338 to 795 of the family's 1533-position model. Lineage: Bacteria; Bacillati; Bacillota. The record is from RNAcentral.
CCUACGGGGGGCUGCAGUGGGGAAUCUUCCGCAAUGGGCGCAAGCCUGACGGAGCAACGCCGCGUGGGUGAAGAAGGCCUUCGGGUUGUAAAGCCCUGUCUUAUGGGAAGAAGUCAGUGACGGUACCAUAGGAGGAAGCCACGGCUAACUACGUGCCAGCAGCCGCGGUAAUACGUAGGUGGCGAGCGUUGUCCGGAAUUACUGGGCGUAAAGGGCGCGCAGGCGGGUUUUUAAGUCAGAUGUGUAAUCUACAGGCUCAACCUGUAGUUUGGAUCUGAUACUGGAAAUCUUGAGUGCAGGAGAGGACAGUGGAAUUCCUAGUGUAGCGGUGAAAUGCGUAGAUAUUAGGAGGAACACCAGUGGCGAAGGCGGCUGUCUGGCCUGCAACUGACGCUGAGGCGCGAAAGCGUGGGUAGCGAACAGGCUUAGAUACCCCGGUAGUC